UAAACCCUAAAAAAAAAAGUUUGGAUAAAGGUUACAAGUGCAGCGGAUAUAGAGGGAGACUAAACCGGAGAUUAACGCUGUGUUUUUAUGCCCUUUGAUUAGUGUUUUGCGCUGCCAACUGAUCAUCAAAGCAGUCACAGCUGAUUGGAAAUGUGGUUAAUCUCUGUGUUUAAAAAAUUUGUAUGCCAACAAGAACUUCGAAAACUGCAUUACAACACAUUUAUGAAGGUUGCCUUCAACACUGGAAGCACUUUUCGCUCUCAAAGGGUUAUCUACCUUAUCUGUCGUAUUUAUGUCCCAUUUAUCCACUCUCACACCUUCGGGAAACGGGCACAAGGCACAGCCUGUCUGAUUUUCUUGUUUGGAAUUGCCACAGUCACCGCAGCAAUAAAUCAAUUAUAGUCAUAAGAGCAAAUGGAAA
This is a long non-coding RNA of Drosophila guanche, 421 nucleotides long. RefSeq lists it as uncharacterized. The record is from RefSeq and is a predicted model, not a curated record. NCBI's taxonomy places the organism in Eukaryota, Metazoa, Arthropoda, Insecta, Diptera, Drosophilidae. The transcript has 3 exons.